RNAcentral lists this ribosomal RNA (244 nucleotides) under uncultured bacterium. RNAcentral's name for it is "partial 16S ribosomal RNA". It matches the Rfam family "Bacterial small subunit ribosomal RNA", at positions 524 to 763 of the family's 1533-position model. The record is from RNAcentral.
UACGUAGGGUGCAAGCGUUGUCCGGAAUUAUUGGGCGUAAAGAGCUCGUAGGCGGUCUGUUGCGUCGGCUGUGAAAACCCGGGGCUCAACCCCGGGCCUGCAGCCGAUACGGGCAGACUAGAGUUCGGCAGGGGAGACUGGAAUUCCUGGUGUAGCGGUGAAAUGCGCAGAUAUCAGGGAGAACAGCCGGUGGCGGAAGGCGGGUCUCUGGGCCGAGUACAUGACGUGGAGGAGCGAAAGCGUC